UACGUAGGCAGCGAGCGUUGUUCGGAAUUACUGGGCGUAAAGAGUGUGUAGGCGGUGUUCCCAGUCUGUUGUGAAAUCUCCCGGCUUAACUGGGAGGGUGCAGCGGAAACUGGAAUGCUUGAACGUGGGAGAGGAAAGCGGAAUUCCUGGUGUAGCGGUGAAAUGCGUAGAUAUCAGGAGGAACACCUGCGGUGUAGACGGCUUUCUGGACCAUUGUUGACGCUGAGACACGAAAGCGUGGGUAGCAAACAGG
Molecule: ribosomal RNA, 253 nt
Filed under: uncultured bacterium
Lineage: Bacteria
Description: partial 16S ribosomal RNA
Rfam family: Bacterial small subunit ribosomal RNA
Source: RNAcentral